UAUCAAUCUUAUUUCAGCAUUAUCACAUUCAACAAGUAUCGAAUGAGCAUCUUCUAUAUGCCAAACAAUGUUAUGAGUCCUUAGGAUACAUCAGUGAACGAAACACAUGAAGAUGCUUGCCUUUAUGGAGCUUACAUUUUGACUCACAUCCUGUGAGGUAAGAAACAACAGUGCUGAAACUUGAGACAACGGCUGUUCUCGGUUGCUG
RNAcentral lists this long non-coding RNA (208 nucleotides) under Homo sapiens (human). RNAcentral's name for it is "HSALNT0316435". The record is from RNAcentral. Lineage: Eukaryota; Metazoa; Chordata; Mammalia; Primates; Hominidae.